This 390-nucleotide ribosomal RNA is filed under the name Triticum aestivum (bread wheat). RNAcentral describes it as "partial small subunit ribosomal RNA". The record is from RNAcentral. Lineage: Eukaryota; Viridiplantae; Streptophyta; Magnoliopsida; Poales; Poaceae.
AUGGGGAGCCGGCGAUGCAGGAACCGGGAGCUGUGGCGGCGGAGAUGGAUGCGGGCGCGGGUGCCAGAGAGAGGGAGAGGAGAGGUAGCGGGUGAGGGAGAGAUCGAGAGGGAGAAAGGGGUACGGGCGAGAGGAGUGGUCGAGCGUAGGUUCUCCUGGCGGCGGAGGGAGAGGGGAUCGGGAGAGGUGGCUCGGGCGCCUAGGGUUAGCGCAGGUUGGGCUGCGGGAAGCCUUGGGCCAAAUGGGCCCCAGGAGGCCCAGCCCCUUGGGCCAAAUGGGCCCCAGGAGGCCCAAGUGGCAAGGCUGGGCUCUCUCCCCCUCUUCUUAUUUACUUCUUUAUUUCCUGAUUUAACAAAUAAACCGAGAAAUAAGAAAUGUAGAGAGAGAUAG